GCGGAUAUAGUACAUCGGUAGUACAUGAGCUUCCCAAGCUUAGGAGGCGGGUUCGACUCCCGUUAUCCGCU
RNAcentral lists this transfer RNA (71 nucleotides) under Lachnospiraceae bacterium. RNAcentral describes it as "tRNA-Gly". It matches the Rfam family "tRNA". Rfam says of the family: Transfer RNA (tRNA) molecules are approximately 80 nucleotides in length. Their secondary structure includes four short double-helical elements and three loops (D, anti-codon, and T loops). The record is from RNAcentral. Lineage: Bacteria; Bacillati; Bacillota; Clostridia; Lachnospirales; Lachnospiraceae.